RNAcentral lists this non-coding RNA (98 nucleotides) under Bacteroidota bacterium. RNAcentral describes it as "Bacteroidetes bacterium TPP sequence". It matches the Rfam family "TPP riboswitch aptamer (THI element)". Rfam says of the family: Vitamin B(1) in its active form thiamin pyrophosphate (TPP) is an essential coenzyme that is synthesised by coupling of pyrimidine and thiazole moieties in bacteria. The previously detected thiamin-regulatory element, thi box was extended, resulting in a new, highly conserved RNA secondary structure, the THI element, which is widely distributed in eubacteria and also occurs in some archaea. The record is from RNAcentral. Lineage: Bacteria; Pseudomonadati; Bacteroidota.
UCUCAGAAAUUGGGGUGCCUUAAUACUACGGGCUGAGAUCAAACCCUUUGUACCUGAUCCGGAUAAUGCCGGCGUAGGAAAAGAGUAUAGCUAAGAAA